Molecule: long non-coding RNA, 1278 nt
Filed under: Anas platyrhynchos platyrhynchos (common mallard)
Lineage: Eukaryota; Metazoa; Chordata; Aves; Anseriformes; Anatidae
Description: lncRNA (ENSAPLG00000017486.1)
Source: RNAcentral
GGACUGUGCUGGGAACAGAAUAAGAAUGGAUUUCAGUCACUUAACUCAGAGUGAAGAGUUGGACUUGAUGAUCCUCAUAUGUCCCUUCCAGCUCAGUAUAUUCUAUGACUGAAGAGGACUAAGAUACUAAGACCUAUCAAAGUAAUAAAAGACUCCAAGUUGAAACUGAUAUAAAAAUUAUGUAAUUAUUUACUUUGCCAAAGGAAUUAACAGUUUCAGGAUACACUUGAACUUGAUUACUAUAAGCCAACUUUGUUAUCUGUCUUUACUGAAGUUUUUUUUGUUUGUUUGUUUGUGCUUUUUUUUUUUUUUUUUUUUUCCCUUGGAGACCAGGCCAGAGAAAUCCACUACUUACAAGAUGGAUCACCAAAAAUAUUCCUAUUUUGCAUUAUGCUGAGAGAGCUCUUGGCUGAUUAAGGCAGCUUCUUCCUAAGAUGAAUAAACAGUCAUGGUUGCAUGUAAGCAUACUACACUUGGAUGCUAUCAACAUAUAGGACUCUCCUUCUGAGUGCAGCUGCUAGAUCUGGGUUCUGAUAUGUUAUGGUAAUUAACUAUGUGAGUACUAGUUCCCCAGAAGAGCAGCUGAGGAAAUACCUCUCACUGAGAUGUUUCUUCUUGAUCUUUCUAGAUGCAUCCUUUGGAGAGAAGAGCUAUAUGUUGGGUAGAGAAAAACAUUCAUCUUCCUAACUUUCACUUUCCUGCAUGGAUUUUAUUAGGAAACAAGCUUUAAAACAUUCUUUUUUUUUUUUUUUUUUUUUUUGGUGGAUAAAGGCCAUAAAUUGAACUGGACUAUGAACAAACAAUUACGGUUGUUCAGUCACUACUGCAUUAUAAGGAAUCCACCACAUAUGAUUGCUGUUUGUAGUAACCUACCGUGCAAGAAUAAUAUUUUCUUGAGUAGCGUGUGAAUGCAGUAGUGUGAACAGUGCUUUACGAGUCAUGAAGUUUUUCUCAAAGGCUAAAAGACAUAUUUUUUUUUCCUCAGAUACAUCUGAAAUGGGGAGUGACUUUCUGAAACAAGCUCUUCUUCCUAAAGGUCAGAUAAGCAUGCAAACAGCAGCUGCUGCUUGGAAGGACAGCCUUGAGAAGCCAGCAGGAGCAGAAACAGCCACAUCGCCAAUGGUCCUAAUCCAGUAUGCAACAGUAUUUAAGCUUUGGCAGGACAUCAGUGGUUAGCUGUUGCCUUGAAGGAGCCUUCCUGAACAAAUUUACUGUGAAACAGCAGCACCUUUUUCCUCUGCAACAAAAUGAAAACAGCAAUUAUACCACAGAUGGGAA